Long non-coding RNA from Andrographis paniculata, 378 nucleotides. RefSeq lists it as uncharacterized. The record is from RefSeq and is a predicted model, not a curated record. NCBI's taxonomy places the organism in Eukaryota, Viridiplantae, Streptophyta, Magnoliopsida, Lamiales, Acanthaceae. The transcript is spliced from 2 exons.
UACCUCCAUAGAUAACGGUUGUUACAAGCUCAUUUUGGCAUUAGUCACAGAAUUGGACAAAGUGGACAAACACAAAUGCAAAGACUCAGAUGUUGCAGUCUCAGUCCGUCUGCAACCAGAUUGAGACCGAUGUUGUAUUUGGAAUCUGAUCACGACCGCUCCAGGUGGAUGAGUUUUGUACAUAUGUCAAAACACGUAAUUGGGGUAUUUUUCAUUUAACACUAUCCAUUUUUAGGCUCAAUAGAAUAUGAAUAAACCUUAUUAAAGGUCUCAACACUAUAUACUUCGUCAAUAAAGUCUGUUGGAUUUAAUUUCUAUCCAUAUAUGACACUCAUCUCAUGGUGACAAUAGAGUCCACAUAAAUCUCAUGUUCUACAA